RNAcentral lists this ribosomal RNA (440 nucleotides) under uncultured bacterium. RNAcentral describes it as "partial 16S ribosomal RNA". It matches the Rfam family "Bacterial small subunit ribosomal RNA", at positions 338 to 795 of the family's 1533-position model. The record is from RNAcentral.
CCUACGGGAGGCAGCAGUGGGGAAUAUUGCACAAUGGGGGAAACCCUGAUGCAGCGACGCCGCGUGAGUGAAGAAGUAUUUCGGUACGUAAAGCUCUAUCAGCAGGGAAGAAAAUGACGGUACCUGACUAAGAAGCCCCGGCUAACUACGUGCCAGCAGCCGCGGUAAUACGUAGGGGGCAAGCGUUAUCCGGAUUUACUGGGUGUAAAGGGAGCGUAGACGGCAGCGCAAGUCUGGAGUGAAAUCCCAUGGCUUAACCAUGGAACUGCUUUGGAAACUGUGCAGCUAGAGUGCAGGAGAGGUAAGCGGAAUUCCUAGUGGAGCGGUGAAAUGCGUAGAUAUUAGGAGGAACACCAGUGGCGAAGGCGGCUUACUGGACUGUAACUGACGUUGAGGCUCGAAAGCGUGGGGAGCAAACAGGAUUAGAUACCCGGGUAGUC